AGCAGCCGCGGUAAUUCCAGCUCCAAUAGCGUAUAUUAAAGUUGUUGCAGUUAAAAAGCUCGUAGUUGAAUUUCGGGGUUAGUAAGUUGGUCAUGCCUCUGGUAUGAACUGGCUUUACUGAUUCCUCCUUCUUGAUGAACUGUAAUGUCAUUAAUUUGGUGUUGCAGGGAAUCAGGACUGUUACUUUGAAAAAUUAGAGUGUUUAAAGCAGGCAUACGCUUGGAUACAUUAGCACGGAAUAAUGAAAUAGGACGUUUGAUCCUAUUUUGUUGGUUUCUAGGAUUGACGUAAUGAUUAAUAGGGAUAGUUGGGGGCAUUAGUAUUCAAUUGUCAGAGGUGAAAUUCUUGGAUUUAUUGAAGACUAACUACUGCGAAAGCAUUUGCCAAGGAUGUUUUCAUUAAUCAAGAACGAAAGUUAGGGGAUCGAAGACGAUCAGAUACCGUCGUAGUCUUAACCAUAAACUAUGCCGACUAGGGAUCGGAUGAUGUUAUUUUUAAUGACUCAUUCGGCGUCCG
Molecule: ribosomal RNA, 516 nt
Filed under: uncultured Glomeromycotina
Lineage: Eukaryota; Fungi; Glomeromycota
Description: SSU rRNA
Rfam family: Eukaryotic small subunit ribosomal RNA
Source: RNAcentral